GCCGUGGUGGUGGUGGUGUUAUCUCACUUUCGGCCACAAUUCCCUCAGCUAUCUUGAUUCAUUAUCAACAAUAUUGUACCUCUCAAGCAUAUGCGUCCAAGAGCCUUCAAAAUCUUUAAGCCAUUCAUUAUCAACAAUAUUGGCUAGGAGGACUAAAUGACAGACAAGAUGGAACCAGCAGACACAGUACUUAAGCUGGAGUACCUAGGGACAUAUGAGACAUGUAUCAGUUCUUCUUUGCUUAUAAGCAUUAGGUGCACAAUGGGCUAGGAGAACUGAAUGAC
This is a long non-coding RNA of Lolium rigidum, 284 nucleotides long. RefSeq lists it as uncharacterized. NCBI's taxonomy places the organism in Eukaryota, Viridiplantae, Streptophyta, Magnoliopsida, Poales, Poaceae. The transcript is spliced from 4 exons. The record is from RefSeq and is a predicted model, not a curated record.